ACACUCUCAAGCUUUGCUUGGUAUUGGUGGUCGCCCCGCGGGGCGCUUCCGAAACUCAGCGGCGACGUAGCCGGACUCCCUGGCGUAGUGACAUUUUUUGUCGCCCCGGAGUCGUCGGUCUUGCGCCAGCCGGACAACACCCCAAUUUAUUAAAA
RNAcentral lists this unclassified non-coding RNA (155 nucleotides) under uncultured Cryptodiscus. RNAcentral's name for it is "sequence contains ITS2". The record is from RNAcentral. Lineage: Eukaryota; Fungi; Ascomycota; Lecanoromycetes; Ostropales; Stictidaceae.